Molecule: ribosomal RNA, 253 nt
Filed under: uncultured bacterium
Lineage: Bacteria
Description: partial 16S ribosomal RNA
Rfam family: Bacterial small subunit ribosomal RNA
Source: RNAcentral
UACGUAGGUGUCAAGCGUUAUCCGGAAUUACUGGGCGUAAAGGGCACGCAGGCGGUUUAGGAAGUCCGACGUGAAAGCUUCCGGCUUAACUGGGAGAGGUCGUUGGAAACUUUUAGACUUGAGACGGUGAGAGGGAGGCGGAAUUCCCGGUGUAGUGGUGGAAUGCGUAGAUAUCGGGAAGAACACCAGUGGCGAAAGCGGCCUCCUGGCACUGUUCUGACGCUGAGGUGCGAAAGCGUGGGGAGCGAACGGG